This 331-nucleotide unclassified non-coding RNA is filed under the name soil metagenome. Its description in RNAcentral is "partial contains 5.8S ribosomal RNA, internal transcribed spacer 2, and large subunit ribosomal RNA". The stretch from base 1 to 122 matches the Rfam family "5.8S ribosomal RNA", at positions 35 to 154 of the family's 154-position model. The record is from RNAcentral.
GAUGAAGAACGUAGCGAAAUGCGAUACGUAAUGUGAAUUGCAGAUCUCUCAGUGAACCAUCGAAUUUUUGAACGCACAUUGCGCCCCCUGGUAUUCCGGGGGGCAUGCCUGUCCGAGCGUCAUUACAACCCUCAAGCUCAGCUUGGUGUUGGGCCCCGCCGCCCCGGCGGGCCCUAAAGUCAGUGGCGGUGCCGUCCGGCUCCGAGCGUAGUAAUUCUUCUCGCUCUGGAGGUCCGGUCGUGUGCUCGCCAGCAACCCCCAAUUUUUUUCAGGUUGACCUCGGAUCAGGUAGGGAUACCCGCUGAACUUCAGCAUAUCAAUAAGCGGAGGA